This is an RNA transcript of Triticum aestivum (bread wheat), 6323 nucleotides long. RefSeq lists it as uncharacterized. Lineage: Eukaryota; Viridiplantae; Streptophyta; Magnoliopsida; Poales; Poaceae. The record is from RefSeq and is a predicted model, not a curated record. The transcript has 16 exons.
CGCGACUCUCGUCCCGCCGCCGCCGCCCUCCUGCCUCCAAGCCCUAAGCCCCUGCCGGAUCCGCCCCUCCCCAAUUCUUCGCGGCCAAGAAGCGGAGGCCCUCGUCGCAGCAUGGGAGCCCCGGGGCCGCCAAGGGGUCCCUGGUCCGGUCCCCUCCCGCCGUGGCGGCGGUGGCGGGGUCGUCGUCGGCCCUGGCCGGCUCCCCCUCAGGCGCCCGGAGCGAACUGCGCGCGGAGCCCCACGGCCUCCGCCUCGAGGCGGACGACGCGGGACGCGAGUGCGAUGGAGGUGAUCUUGCGCACCUCCAUCGUCCACCAGCUGCUCGAGAUGGAGUCCGUGGCCGGCGAGAAGACCAGCGGCGUGGCGGACAGGCCCGUCGUAAGCCAUGUAUGAGCAGGGUGUUGGCCGCUCGUCCUCUGUCCCGAGUUUAGGUUGCCCGUAUGAGAAAAGAGAGAAGAGGAUUAAUCUUCCUCUGCCAGAUCUGAGAAAAAAGAGAAAAGGAUGAAUCUUGAGGAAGAGCUUGGUGAAGAACAAGGUUCGAGGAUGUAAAUCUAUCUGAUAUGUUGUUGAUGGGGAUUAAGAUUAUUGUAUUGACAUAUCUGAAAGUAUUCUACUGACAUAUCUGAGAAUUUUUAUGAUCUACCAGCAACUAGGUGUUAAGCUUCAGGAUGGGUGCAUGUUUCUUUUUGUCGGAAACAAAACAGAUUCUUUUAUAACUGAGGUUAUAUUUAACUGCAUGCACUUACUUUAGCUUAGGGGACAGGGGUUCAUCUGUCCGGUAGCACAUCAUUGGAGAAAAAUGACAUGAUCAAAAGGAAAUAGAUUUCAGUGCAGGCUCGUGCACCUGUUUUCCUUUUCCCCUUCGAUGGGGUCGUUCAGUUGAGGUGAAGCAAGCAAGCACCUCCCCGUGCCUUGCAUACCAAGGAGAGAGCGAGCCAUUGCAGAGGAGAGGGGAUACGAGGGUGGGCAGAGGUCAGGCAUUGCUAACAGAUUUGCGGCGGAGUGGGAAGCCGGCGCCUCAUCACUGGCUCCUGUUUGGCAUCGGCAAAGAGAAAGCUGCCGAGGAUGUGUUGCUCUAUGCACUGCUGUCGAAGUACAUCCUUGCUAUGAUGUAUUUUCAGUGGCUUUCUCCAUUAGAAUGUUUCUCGUCAACGACCAUAUCAACCUGUCUGGUGUUCGCACAUGUCAUUUUGGUUGAGUUUACUGCCAUUCCGCCUCUUCCUCGUGAUGGUAUAGGAGUACACACUAAUUCGAUAAAUAAGAGGCGAAGUUGCCAACGCCUGAGAUAGUGGUUCCUACCUCUGGCCUUCGCACCUUUAGUUCCGCAAGUAGUUCAGCAACUCAAAUGAGCUCGAGGCAGAGAUGGCGGAGCUCGGGCGAGCUCGAGACUAUGGAUCCAGGGCUUGAGUGCUCACGGGAUGGAGGCAGGGAAGGGCGCCCUACGGGAAGUGAUUUAUGUGCUCCUUGAUCUGGCUUUUUAUAACUGAUGACAUCUUACAUUGUUGUCUUUUACCGAUUAACUGGUUAACUCUUUUCCUAAAUGGUCUUAGAUUUCUGCUUUCUAUUUGCGCCAGUUUCUUUUUACAAGAGAUGAGAUCUUACACAAUAUAUUUUUGCCUUGGUUGAUCUAAUUAAGAUUUUCCUUCAGCGCGUGCAUAUGAUGUGAAUAUAAAGCUAUUUGGAAGAACAUAUCCAUGGGCGAAAAAAUAUUAUCAUGUAUUUUGUCUGUCAUUUUGCUUGUGUUGAUGUAAUUUAUUGAGCUUUUUCACACGUCAUGAUAUUAUGCCUUAAUUUCUACUAGGCUGCUUUUACAUUUAAAAUUCAUUGUACAAACAUUAUUUACCUAAUUUAUGGAAACAAUAAAUUUGUAGCUUAGGUCAACUAGGAGAUGAUGUAAACCAAGUCACUCACCAGUUUAAGAUGGUAUGUUCUGAACUUUCAUUGCUUUAUGAAUGGACAAAAGAUGUUAGAUAUGCAUGCUACUACAGUUUAGCCAUUUUUCAGUUUUCUACAUGAGCCACAGUGCCGAAGCCUUUGGACAGGCACUUUGUGGUAGAAUGUGUCAAACAUAGGUCUGUUUGCUAGAAUAUGUGUUGUGCCGAUGCUGCAACUAGCAUACGCAAAAUCACUUUGCUAUAUAUUUUUCAUAAUACUACAUUCCAUCAAUUAACUGACUUAUUGUUUUGAAUCUACUUACAUAGGUGUUUACAGAUUUACUUUGUUCCAGCGCCUACUUUGGAUCAUAGGAAACUAAAAAAGAGAGGGCGCCGCCACCACCGUCAUCAGGCUGGUCCACAUCCACGCGCUGCUCGGCGUCACCAGGUCACCGGCACAACUCCUCACGCCUAGGUCGUUCAACAUUUUCUUCCGCUUUUGGUGCGUCACAUUUAGAGUCUUUCUUUCUCAUUUUACCGUGUUUGCAUGGUAAGAUGUUUGGUCGGAUUUGAAGAUUUGUAGCCUUGGCUCCAAAGCUACAAGCUCUUAUCUAACCUAUAAACCUCGCUAGAGUACCCGCGUAACUGGAGGCAUCGCUUGCGCCCAACGUUUUUGACCGCUUGAUUGAAUUACAACAGUGAUUUUUUGGCUGCUGGCGGCUGGUCAACCGUCCACUGUUUUUCACGUUUAAGACUGUGUCAGGAGAGAAUGACGGGUGGGGUCAUGAGCCAAUGGGGGCCAUCCAGCAGAGGGAGGGUUUCCUGGAGCCCAGGUCAAUGAUUGGCUGAAGGUGGGUUGUUCCCGAUUGGCCAGGACCAAUCCUCGACGACAGCCAGGACCAAUCCCCUCCCGAAAACCUAGCGCACUCGGGGCCAAUCCUCUUCGUCCUCGAGCCCCUCUUCUCCUCCCUGCACGCCAUCUCGCCGUUCCCAUCUCGCCUCCCUCGCGCUCGCACCGCCGCCUUCUCUCCCCGGUGCUCGAGGUGUAGCAGCAGGGGCGCCGGUCCUCGAUCCAGCCGGCACCACCUCUCCUCCUCUCUCUCUCCCAUGCCGCCACUGUUGCAAGGAGCAGGGGAGAUAGGCGACGAGGACAAGAAGCAGCAGGCUGGUCGCGAUGGGCUUGAGGUGCUGGGAAGACGGAGGAGUCCGUCGUGGUUCGUCAUGGAGGCGGCGCCGCCGGCCAGGGGACAUCGUUGGUGCGCUCGGUGCAGGUUCUUCUUUUUCAUGAAACCGACCUCAUUCUCCCGUUCUUGCUAUCUUGUGCGAUUUGAUUCUUCUCUUUCUUUUCCUCUUGCAGGAUCGUCGGGGCUGCUCUCGUUCGUUCAGUUUGUCAUUGUUCCUUUCGCUCUACUCCUGCUCAAGAGGCUUACUUGCAGUCCCUGAGCAAGGCUCUGUCGCACUACCACAAGGCCCAACUGCUGCUCCUCGACAUCACCGACUUCUCGCUGUGGGUCAGCAGCAAGAGAUCAAAUCCAGAGCAAGUAUGAGAGCUCCAGUAAGGCCAUCGUCCAGAACCAGUCCAUGUCUGAGACGAUGUUUGGAAGGGUGUCCGAUUUCAUCGCACCUUUUGCAAUGUUUCCUAAGACGGAUGAGCCUAGAGGUACCAGAACAAUACAAUUCAAUCUCUUCUCAUGUUCCUGCGAGAGUAGAUACAGUGUACUGUGUUGGAUAUGCUGACUCGUUUUGAGGGAGCUAGAAAAUCUGUGGUGCUUCCUGGAAUCACGUUAUUCAAGAUAUGGAAGAUCUAAAAUCCUCUGAAAGAUUUUGGUUCUGCGGAAGCCAAUGAUCUGGCACUGGGACCUUAACUUCUGGAGUGAACGACUGCGGGAAUCAAAAUACAAUAUUGAUGAGGUUCUUUCUUUACAGAAAUCGAUUACAAUAUUAAUGAAAUUAGCUCCUGGCCAUUGCAUAUUUGCAUACUUAUUGGAAUUCGGUUUUAUCAUUAAUUGUAGAUUUAACUUUUUAGCUCUGAUGUAUGAGAAAACUAUCUGCAUUUCUUAUCUAUCAUGGAUAUGCUGAUAUAUUGCUCUACUAAAAGGAAUUGUUGGCCUAAGAUGUUAUUAUAUACGUUACAUGUUAUUGGCUAAAUAUGAUACAUACUUUACAAACUCCUUACAGCUGGAGUAGGAUCCAAUGAACAGAUGAUGAAAAAUAAAUUAAGCACUUGCUUUGAUUUGUUCAAAUUUUUACAGAAACUGUUAGAACACACUUUUCUUUGCAAGCCGGAUACAAAGAGGAAUGUGUUAAAUAUAUGGAAGAUAAAAUUAUUUGCAAGCAAACUCUGCUUGUUUGCCAUAUUUUGCGCACCGUCUUAAAAUUAUUUGUCCAAUGGAAGGACUCUCUGCAACAUCAAUUCCAGUAUGUUGCUUUAGUUGUUCUGUGUGAUGCAAGGUAAUAUUUUUCUUGCAAUUUUUGCAUCUUUUACCUUUUCACUUCUGUUGAGAGAAACAUGUUGUUUAUAAGACGGACCAAUACUCACCAUAUAUGAUAUUCUUCCACCAAAUAAAUAUUUUUUGAGUGCAACUAAAAUCGUUUUCCUGCUCAUUCAUGAUACUGUGGUCUGACAUAGCCGAUGGAUGUUCAGGUUUCUCUAUUAUUUGCAAUGCCUUCUAGAUAUCCAUUCUGCAUGUGUUCUUCUGUUUACUUUCAAGAUAUCCUGGCUCUCUGGAAUAUGCCCUGUUCAGCUGAAAGGAUGUAUUGCAAUUAUGCAGAGAGAUGGAAUUGUCCGGACUCCAGUGCCACUUCAGUUUUCUAAUUUUUGCAGGGAUAUUGAGUGAGGGCUGGUCUAAACUUUAAGAGAAUAACUUAUUACAUUCUGGGAUCACCAACUUUUGGCGUUUGCUCGGACUAGUGUAUGUGGCCUACCGUAUCCGUGAUGUGGUGGCAGGAAGAGGCCAGUGCCACCAUUACUGUAUCCGUGUCAGGCAUGGUGGCAUGAAGAAGCAUAAAUUCAGAGUAUUGCUAUGAUGUCGCAUAAUAUUUGGUUAAAGCCUGCAAUUGUUUAGGUGAUAUGAACUUCCUUUAUCUUGAAUGGAUUUGAACUCCAGCCAAAUUCAAGUGAUGAAAGGUCAGUUUUGUGCUGAUUCACAAGUUUAGAUAUCGUCCCUCCAGUGUACUUCUUGGUUGAUUAAUGAAAAAUGCUUUCUGCUCAGUUCCCCGUCCUAGAUUAGUCUAUGUGUAUGAAAAGAAAAAUUCUUUUUUUGUAUAAUACUAUCGAUACCAUGGAAUAGUUUUUUACGAAUGAUCCUCUUUAGCUAACAUUUAAUCAAGGUUACCUAAAGAGAAUGAUAUCACUUCAUAAAAACCAUUCAUGAAGAGUAUCAUUCAUAAAAACAAUUCUCUUUAUGAUAGUAUUAUAUAGAAAAAGCUAACAUCUGUAUAAGGAGAAUCAUUCUCUUUAGCUAACAUUUAAUCAUUGUAUUUGGUGGAACUGGCUGUGGAGUAUUAGGUAGAUUGUGAUAUGGUGAAUUCUUUGUUAGACACGACAUUACGAGCUCCUCCUUCGCAGCAGUACAUGGAUUUUUUCUACAUAAAUCUCAUGAGUCCAUUAUGCCUUACGUAUCUGAACCUAUGAUUCUAGAGAAGAUAUAAUAUACUUCUGGAUUACACAAGGUAAAAUCCUCUUUCACUAACCCUUUCAACUUUCAAAUAUUGUCAGUUGGGGCUCACAAAAUAGAUUGAGUUGAUUUUGUUGUUCUUUUGUGCUAUCUGGACAGAGCUUAUUGUUUUAUUCCAUUCUUAGUCUACUGAUGGUAAAUGAUAUAUGGAAAAUCAACAUUUCAAGAUAAAUAAAAUGCCCCCAGUAUGUUUGUGUUCACAUGAUUACUGGCUCAUGUUUCUUUUAUGUGAUGCCAGGCUACUGUUUGAUGUUCUCUUUGUUGCUCUCACUUUGGUUAUAUACUACUAAAGCUUCAUAUAAUUUUCAUUUAGAUUUGGUGUUGUUAGCAUUAGACGGUGUACAUCAAAUAUGAAAGUAGGGCCAAGCAUCAAAGGCAAGGUGAAGGAAGGUGCCUGUGUGGUUCUUCUGCAGCUCGCAGCGAGGAUUGCUGUGUCCAACCUGCACAAGAAUGCCAAGAAGUCCUUGGAGACGUCCUCGCUGUGUCCAACCUGCACAAGAAUGCCAAGAAGUCCUUGGAGACGAUUAAGGACAUGUACCUGCACUACAACGAGAGAUCUGGGCUGCUUCUUUGUGGCUUCCAAACUUGAAAUGUUUGUUUGGAAGUUAGUUUAGUUUUUUGUUGUGGAUUCACAUCUUCUCACAUGUACCAUCCGCUUAGACCUUUAGAUUUCCAAAGAAACUAAAUGAAGAUAUGGUGGUAUGGUUUCAUUUGUACAACUUAAAGCCUUUCAUGCUCUAUAUUUUCUCUGAAAUUUGCUCUUGAAGAAUCA